GUAGGGUUUAGGGUUAGUAGGGUUUUGGGUUAGGUAGGGUUUAGGGUUAGGUAGGGUUUAGGGUUGGUAGGGUUUAGGGUUAGGUAGGGUUUAGGGUUCGGUAAGGUUUAGGGUUAGGUAGGGUUUAGGGUUAGGUAGGUUUUAGGGUUAUGUAGGGUUUAGGGUUAGGUAGGGUUUAAAAUUGGGUAGGGUUUAGGGUUAGUAGGGUUUAGGGUUAUGUAGGGUUUAGGGUUAGUAGGGUUUAGGGUUAGUAGGAUUUAGGGUUAAGUAAGGUUUAGGGCUAGAAAGGGUUUAUGGUUAGAAUGGUUUUAGGGUUAGGUAGGGUUUAGGUUAGGUAGGGUUUAGGGUUAGUAGGGUUUAGGGUUAUGUAGGGUUAGGUAGGGUUUAGAAUUAGGUAGGGUUUAGGGUUAGCAUGGUUUAAGGUUAGAAGGGUUUAGGGUUAGUAGGGUUUAGGGUUAGUAGGAUUUAGGGCUAGAAAGGGUUUAGGGUUAGGUAGGGUUUAGGGUUAGGUAGGGUUUAGGGUUAUAAAGGGUUUAGGGUAGGUAGGGUUUAGGGUUAGGUAGGGUUUAGGGUUAGGUAGGGUUUAGAAUUAGGUAGGGUUUAGGGUUAGGUAGGGUUUAGGGUUAGAAAGGGUUUAGGGUUAGUAGGGUUUAAGGUUAGUAGGGUUUAGGGCUAGAAAGGUUUUAGGUUAGGUAGGGUUAAUAGGGUUUAGAGUUAUGUAGGAUUAGGGUUAGGUAGGGUUUAGGGUUAGUAGGGUUUAGGGUAGGUAGGGUUUAGGGUUAGGUAGGGUUUAGGAUUUUAGGGUUAGGAAGGGUUUUAGGGUUAGAAAGGGUUUAGGGUUAGUAGGGUUUAGGGUUAAAUAGGGUUUAGGGUUAGGUAGGGUUUAGGGUUAGUAGGGUUUAGGGUAGGUAGGGUUUAGGGUUAGGUAAGGUUUAGGAUUUUAGGGUUAGGAAGGGUUUUAGGGUUAGAAAGGGUUUAGGGUUAGUAGGGUUUAGGGUUAAAUAGGGUUUAGGGUUAGGUAGGGUUUACGUUUAGGGUUAGGUUGGUUUACAAUUUGAUAGGUUUUGGGUUUAGGUAGGAUGAAGGGUUUAGGGAUUAGGGUUUGGUUUAUGUAGGGUUUAGGGUUAGAUAGGGUUAGAUAGGGUUAAGGUAGGAUUUGUCAGGUAGGAUUUAGGGUUUAGGUAGUAGGAAAGGUUAGCGUUUGGUUUAGGUUGGGUUUAAGGUUUGGUUUAGAAUAAUGCUUAGGAUUAUAGGGUUUAGGGUUUGUUUGUUUUUUUGUUUAUGCAUUUAGUGCUGAGUUUUUCGGAUAAAAUUUUAUAUUAAUAUUAUUGAUUCAUAAUUUUUCUUAAAAUGUUAAAAAUUUUAAAGUGAUUUUUAAUGUUCUUAAAACAAAGUAUGUAUUUUUUAUUAAGUUUUUU
Molecule: long non-coding RNA, 1418 nt
Filed under: Brassica napus (rape)
Lineage: Eukaryota; Viridiplantae; Streptophyta; Magnoliopsida; Brassicales; Brassicaceae
Description: long non-coding RNA (BNAP_LNC001812)
Source: RNAcentral